Long non-coding RNA from Clupea harengus (Atlantic herring), 584 nucleotides. RefSeq lists it as uncharacterized. The transcript has 2 exons. The record is from RefSeq and is a predicted model, not a curated record. Lineage: Eukaryota; Metazoa; Chordata; Actinopteri; Clupeiformes; Clupeidae.
CAGUGGUGUCCAGUGAGCGGCACACAAUGGUGUUCAUCACGUCAGUGGUCAGUGGUGUCCAGUGAGUAGCACACAAAGGUGUUCUUCACGUUCUCUCCCUCUGUGUCUGUCAUUGUGACCAGGCUUAAGUAAGGACGGCUAAAGGAAGCCUGCUUCGGAGUGUCUGUUCUUUGGCUUGAGUGAUUGAAGCCCAUGAGUCUAUAGUGCAGCCCUGCCAACAAGCACCGGCUUAUGUGUCAUUAAAUGGACUGUUGAGCAGUUGAUUCUGAAAGCGAGCCAGACUGUCAUUGUUUAGAGGCAGAGAGGUACUGUACGAGGGGUUUUCAGUGCUUUUCUGUAGACGUGCACUUGGUAUUAGAUGCCAAGGCUUUAGCGGGGAUAAGGCUAAGACAGUGUGCGUGUAAAAUAAAUAAAUUACAUUAAAUAAAAUCAGGUCAGGGAUUUGUCUCAGUUGGAACGAAUGAGACGCCCACCCACUGCAAUGAAUACGCUAUUGUUGAAUCUUUACAAAAGUGUCUCCUGGAAGAGGAGGUGAGAUGUUGUGCUUGGUGGGAGAAAAAGAGGUGUUGGGUUGAGAAAAAGGG